CAGCAGCCACGGGAAUACGGAGGGUGCAAGCGUUAUUCGGAAUUACUGGGCGUAAAGCGCACGCAGGCGGUUGCCCAAGUCGGAUGUGAAAGCCCCGGGCUUAACCUGGGGACUGCAUUUGAAACUGGGCGACUAGAGUAUGAAAGAGGAAAGCGGAAUUUCCAGUGUAGCAGUGAAAUGCGUAGAUAUUGGAAGGAACACCGAUGGCGAAGGCAGCUUUCUGGGUCGAUACUGACGCUCAUGUGCGAAAGCAUGGGGAGCAAACAGGAUUAGAUACCCGCGUAGUCCCUGUCUCUUAUAC
RNAcentral lists this ribosomal RNA (301 nucleotides) under uncultured bacterium. RNAcentral describes it as "partial 16S ribosomal RNA". It matches the Rfam family "Bacterial small subunit ribosomal RNA", at positions 509 to 807 of the family's 1533-position model. The record is from RNAcentral.